This 496-nucleotide ribosomal RNA is filed under the name uncultured bacterium. RNAcentral describes it as "partial 16S ribosomal RNA". It matches the Rfam family "Bacterial small subunit ribosomal RNA", at positions 29 to 507 of the family's 1533-position model. The record is from RNAcentral.
AUGAACGCUGGCGGCGUGCCUAAUACAUGCAAGUCGAGCGAACAGACGAGGAGCUUGCUCCUCUGACGUUAGCGGCGGACGGGUGAGUAACACGUGGAUAACCUACCUAUAAGACUGGGAUAACUUCGGGAAACCGGAGCUAAUACCGGAUAAUAUAUUGAACCGCAUGGUUCAAUAGUGAAAGACGGUUGUGCUGUCACUUAUAGAUGGAUCCGCGCCGCAUUAGCUAGUUGGUAAGGUAACGGCUUACCAAGGCAACGAUGCGUAGCCGACCUGAGAGGGUGAUCGGCCACACUGGAACUGAGACACGGUCCAGACUCCUACGGGAGGCAGCAGUAGGGAAUCUUCCGCAAUGGGCGAAAGCUUGACGGAGCAACGCCGCGUGAGUGAUGAAGGUCUUCGGAUCGUAAAACUCUGUUAUUAGGGAAGAACAAAUGUGUAAGUAACUAUGCACGUCUUGACGGUACCUAAUCAGAAAGCCACGGCUAACUACGUG